UACAGAGGGGGCAAGCGUUAUUCGGAAUUAUUGGGCGUAAAGGGCGCGUAGGCGGCGUGGUAAGUCACUUGUGAAAUCUCUGAGCUUAACUCAGAACGGCCAAGUGAUACUGCUGUGCUAGAGUGCAGAAGGGGCAAUCGGAAUUCUUGGUGUAGCGGUGAAAUGCGUAGAUAUCAAGAGGAACACCUGAGGUGAAGACGGGUUGCUGGGCUGACACUGACGCUGAGGCGCGAAAGCCAGGGGAGCAAACGGG
RNAcentral lists this ribosomal RNA (253 nucleotides) under uncultured bacterium. RNAcentral's name for it is "partial 16S ribosomal RNA". It matches the Rfam family "Bacterial small subunit ribosomal RNA", at positions 524 to 776 of the family's 1533-position model. The record is from RNAcentral.